AGCGAACGCUGGCGGCAGGCCUAACACAUGCAAGUCGAACGGAUCCUUCGGGAUUAGUGGCGGACGGGUGAGUAACACGUGGGAACGUGCCCUUUGGUUCGGAACAACUCAGGGAAACUUGAGCUAAUACCGGAUGUGCCCUUCGGGGGAAAGAUUUAUCGCCAUUGGAGCGGCCCGCGUCUGAUUAGCUAGUUGGUGAGGUAAAGGCUCACCAAGGCGACGAUCAGUAGCUGGUCUGAGAGGAUGAUCAGCCACAUUGGGACUGAGACACGGCCCAAACUCCUACGGGAGGCAGCAGUGGGGAAUCUUGCGCAAUGGGCGAAAGCCUGACGCAGCCAUGCCGCGUGAAUGAUGAAGGUCUUAGGAUUGUAAAAUUCUUUCACCGGGGACGAUAAUGACGGUACCCGGAGAAGAAGCCCCGGCUAACUUCGUGCCAGCCGCCGCAGUGA
This 449-nucleotide ribosomal RNA is filed under the name uncultured bacterium. RNAcentral describes it as "partial 16S ribosomal RNA". It matches the Rfam family "Bacterial small subunit ribosomal RNA", at positions 29 to 523 of the family's 1533-position model. The record is from RNAcentral.